This 261-nucleotide long non-coding RNA is filed under the name Brassica napus (rape). Its description in RNAcentral is "long non-coding RNA (BNAP_LNC012349)". Lineage: Eukaryota; Viridiplantae; Streptophyta; Magnoliopsida; Brassicales; Brassicaceae. The record is from RNAcentral.
GGUGAUUUAGGCAUGUGUCUUUCUGUUUUGUGGUGACUUUGGCUUUCUGGUGAUUAUUCUUCCUCUGGCAUGUUUUGUUGGUCCUUUGAGGUUGUGCUUGAUCGCGCUCCUUUGUGUUCGGGGAUUGCUUUGUUUUUAUUUUUUACCAUUUUCUAACUUCUGCUUAUACUAGCCAAAAUACUCUAUUGGAAUGUGAAGUAAGUUAGUCUUCGUUCUUGAUCUUCUUUCAUCGCCAAACAUUUAUUGAGUUAGUGUUGCUAU